Molecule: ribosomal RNA, 516 nt
Filed under: Colletotrichum gloeosporioides
Lineage: Eukaryota; Fungi; Ascomycota; Sordariomycetes; Glomerellales; Glomerellaceae
Description: eukaryotic LSU rRNA
Rfam family: 5.8S ribosomal RNA (bases 143-296)
Source: RNAcentral
UAACCUAUAACUCGUUGCUUCGGCGGGUAGGGUCUCCGCGACCCUCCCGGCCUCCCGCCUCCGGGCGGGUCGGCGCCCGCCGGAGGAUAACCAAACUCUGAUUUAACGACGUUUCUUCUGAGUGGUACAAGCAAAUAAUCAAAACUUUUAACAACGGAUCUCUUGGUUCUGGCAUCGAUGAAGAACGCAGCGAAAUGCGAUAAGUAAUGUGAAUUGCAGAAUUCAGUGAAUCAUCGAAUCUUUGAACGCACAUUGCGCCCGCCAGCAUUCUGGCGGGCAUGCCUGUUCGAGCGUCAUUUCAACCCUCAAGCUCUGCUUGGUGUUGGGGCCCUACAGCUGAUGUAGGCCCUCAAAGGUAGUGGCGGACCCUCCCGGAGCCUCCUUUGCGUAGUAACUUUACGUCUCGCACUGGGAUCCGGAGGGACUCUUGCCGUAAAACCCCCCAAUUUUCCAAAGGUUGACCUCGGAUCAGGUAGGAAUACCCGCUGAACUUAAGCAUAUCAAUAAGCGGAGGAA